This is a non-coding RNA of Leptonychotes weddellii (Weddell seal), 1751 nucleotides long. The record is from RefSeq and is a predicted model, not a curated record. Lineage: Eukaryota; Metazoa; Chordata; Mammalia; Carnivora; Phocidae.
ACCCAUACCAGGUUCCCUGCUGGGCCCUAGGAAAACACUAUCUCAUACAUUAAGGAGCUCCCAGCUGAAAUGGGGGCAGCGUGCCAUGAGUAAAGGGUACCAGAAAGCCCCAGAGUGGGAAACCUCAGUUGUAUCUCAAAUAUUCACAUCCGCUUGUUACCUUUAUAAGGAAUGUUUUCAAACUUCUCUAAAUGCUUUCAAGAACCAGAUUAGAUAUGAAUAAAUAGAUUAAAAUAGUGAAUUGAAUUAUUUGAAAAGGUCUGAGUCUACCAUCAUGAGGUCUAGGGUGUGGCUGAAGGACUUCCUCCCAAUCCACAUUCUUCAAAAUGGAUCAGAACAAGAAUUCACUUUAGAAAGGAGUAAAAAGCCUCCAGCAUGGUGGUAUGAGGCAGGACAGAGCAGAAGCGGGUUGCAGGAGGGGGUUGCAUCUUUGGAGACUAGAGGCUUGAAGGGAGAUAUAUAGGACAACGUCUAUACAGUUAACCAGGUAGGGAGCAAACAGUAACCAGAGACAAACAUUUCCAUAAUUUUCAGAAAAUUUGAGUUAUGUCUACUUUGGCAAGGAAAGGAGGUUUGGGACAUAACGAAGGCCAUCCAGGAUUAUUCCCUGUAUUCUGUAAGGGAAGGGGAAGGACAGGCCCCAUCCUCAGGUAAUUCUUAACUGAACAUAGAGUUUAGAUGCACGGUAGGGACCUCAGAGGACUGAGAGGCUACUAUGCCACAAAGGAUGCCAGGCUGGGCCUCCUGUGUUGGUGGGUGACGCAAGAGGAGUCCAGAAAUCUCAUGUAAGUAUCUUUUGCAGACUGGUGCGGAGGGAGUAGAGCUGGACCACCCUCUGGGAGACCCCUGCUGUGUUAGGACCACCUUCCUUAGGUAAGAAGGAACAGUGACAACGAUGCCGUCUUCCUUCAAUCCCAGUUGGCUCUUUCAACACUGUUUCACCCUUCCCAGUAAUACUGCAGUGAAGAUUCCUGAACCUAAAUUUUUGCACAUAUCCAUGAUCAUCUUCUAAUAAAUAGCAAAGAAGUGGAAUUGUUGAGUUAAAAGAAGAAAGGCCUUAUGAAGACACAGUAAGAAGGCAGCCACCUAUAAGCCAAGGAUAGAGUUCUCACCAGAAACCUACUCUUCUGGCAUCUCGAUCUCAGACUUUUCAGUCUGUAGAAUGGUGAGAGAAGAAAUUUCUAUUUUUUAAGCCACACAGUCUGUGGUAUUUUGUUAUGGCAGUUCAAGUAGACUAAUACAGCAGGGAUGUGGCCGGGUUGCAUUGCAGUUAAGGGUGGAAUGUGUAAGGUUGGAUGUGGUUUUAAACCCUGGUUCUACCAGUUAGUAGCUGUCCGACUCUGGACAUGUUAAAUAAUUUCUUUGAGUGUCUAGUUGAAAAAGAUAAAUGAGUAUGUGUGUGUGUGUAUACGUGUGUGUAUUCUUAUUUACUCUUUCCAACCAGACAGAAUUACAGAAUUAUAUAUCAUCUAUAUAAUAGCUAAUGUAUAUAUAUAGUUAAUAUAUGCACAGUGUUCAAAAAUGAUAAUCACUGCCAUGCUGCUACUAUUACCAGUAAUAAUAAUUGAGAUAGCUCGGGCAGAUACUCAUCAAAUGUUAGUUACCACUUAUAAGUUAUAUACCUUGGCUGUUCAAUGGAAGUAAUAAUACCUUCUCCCCAAGGUUCCUGUGAGGAUUAUAGGAGAUGAAACAGCUCAGUACCAGGAACACAGAUGGAACUUUUCUUCCCUUAGGAAUGUUUUAGAAAUUGA